UACGUAGGGGGCAAGCGUUGUCCGGAUUUAUUGGGCGUAAAGAGCGUGUAGGCGGCCAGAUAGGUCCGUUGUGAAAACUCGAGGCUCAACCUCGAGACGCCGAUGGAAACCAUCUGGCUAGAGUCCGGAAGAGGAGAGUGGAAUUCCUGGUGUAGCGGUGAAAUGCGCAGAUAUCAGGAAGAACACCCGUGGCGAAGGCGGGUCUCUGGGCCGAUACUGACGCUGAGGAGCGAAAGCGUGGGGAGCGAACAGG
This 253-nucleotide ribosomal RNA is filed under the name uncultured bacterium. RNAcentral describes it as "partial 16S ribosomal RNA". It matches the Rfam family "Bacterial small subunit ribosomal RNA", at positions 524 to 776 of the family's 1533-position model. The record is from RNAcentral.